This 218-nucleotide ribosomal RNA is filed under the name Chloroflexota bacterium. RNAcentral describes it as "partial 23S ribosomal RNA". It matches the Rfam family "Bacterial large subunit ribosomal RNA", at positions 2709 to 2925 of the family's 2925-position model. Lineage: Bacteria; Bacillati; Chloroflexota. The record is from RNAcentral.
CUGGUGCGCCGGCUGUCCCGCCAGGGGCACCGCCGGGUGGCCACGUCGGGUCCGGAGAAGCGCUGACGGCAUCUAAGCGCGAAGCCAGCCUGGAGAUGAGUCCUCCCUUCCCCAGCGAGGGAGUAAGUCCGCCGCCAGACCAGCGGCUUGCUAGGCGGCAGGUGCACACCCCGUAAGGGGCGCAGCCGGGCCGUCCUAACGGACGAGGGCUUUCUUUC